RNAcentral lists this ribosomal RNA (254 nucleotides) under uncultured bacterium. Its description in RNAcentral is "partial 16S ribosomal RNA". It matches the Rfam family "Bacterial small subunit ribosomal RNA", at positions 524 to 776 of the family's 1533-position model. The record is from RNAcentral.
UACGUAGGGUGCGAGCGUUGUCCGGAAUUAUUGGGCGUAAAGAGCUCGUAGGCGGUGUGUCACGUCGGCCGUGAAAACCUGCAGCUUAACUGUGGGCGUGCGGUCGAUACGGGCAUCACUGGAGUUCGGCAGGGGAGACUGGAAUUCCUGGUGUAGCGGUGAAAUGCGCAGAUACCAGGAGGAACACCGGUGGCGAAGGCGGGUCUCUGGGCCGAUACUGACGCUGAGGAGCGAAAGCGUGGGGAGCAAACAGG